Long non-coding RNA from Panthera uncia (snow leopard), 1317 nucleotides. RefSeq lists it as uncharacterized. The record is from RefSeq and is a predicted model, not a curated record. The transcript has 3 exons. NCBI's taxonomy places the organism in Eukaryota, Metazoa, Chordata, Mammalia, Carnivora, Felidae.
UCUGAGCAGAAAACGGGGCAGUGGUGGCAUGGGGAGCUGUGUGAGACUUCACAGGUCACCGAGGAGAUGCCAUUCUCCAAAUCUCUUUCAGCCUCUUGCUUCAUCCUGCUGACUACAUCUGUCCCCAGCACUGCCCCCUCCCCAGCUCAGAUUGCAGUCUUCAUGCAAAUUUAUGUAAAGCAGAUGCAAAUGCCCUAUGGUUCUGUGGGUGCUGUAGCCUGAGGGCAUUAAAGGGACUCUGGUUUGCUUCUGGUAUUUUUUUAAAUAUACUUUAUUGUCAAAUUGGCGACCACACAGUGAGUACAGUGUGCUCUCGGUUUGGGGAGUAGAUUCCCGUGAUUCAUCGCUUACAUGCAACACCCAGUGCUCGUCCCAACAACUGCCCUCCUCGAUGCCCAUCACCCACUUUCCCCUCUGCUCCCCCCUCCGAUCCACCCUCAGUUUGUUCUCUGUAUUUGAGUCUCUUAUGGUUUGCCUCCCUCCCUCUCUGUUUGUAACUACUUUUUUUCCCCCUUCCUUUCCCCCAUGGGAUGCAAACUGGUGGAGCCGCUCUGGAAAACAGUGUGGAGGUUCCUCAAAAAAUUAAAAAUAGAUCUACCCUAUGACCCAGCAAUAGCACUGCUAGGAAUUUAUCCAAAGGAUACAGAAGUGCUGAUUCAUAAGGGCACAUGUACCCCAAUGUUUAUAGCAGCACUUUCAACAAUAGUCAAAUGAUGGAAAGAGCCUGAAUGUCCAUCCACUGAUGAAUGGAUAAAGAAGAUGUGGUUUAUAGAUACGAUGGGAUACUGCUUGGCGAUGAGAAAGAAUGAAAUCCGGCCAUUUGCAGCAACGUGGAUGGAACCGGAGGGUGUUAUGCUGGGUGAAGUAAGUCAGUCAGAGAAAGACAGUGUUCACAUACGUUUGGUACAUUAACUAAAGUCAGAGGAUCAUGAAAACUGGUCUCUCUAGAGAAGCCACAUGAAGAUAAUGGACACGUGAUCUUACCGGUCCCUUCAGCUGACCUGUCAUCAGUUUCUUGACCUUCUCGAAGACCCUUCCACCGUGAUCCCUUCUCCCAUCUCCCCGCCGCCAGGAUCACACUCCCUUCGCAAUUCUCCCAGAGUGCUUUGUCUACACCUCUAGAGGGACCGGCCACUGUCUGCCCUGCAUCACAGCUGACGUGAGAUGUCCGGAUAGACAAACCAGAGCAGGUGCCUCUGCAGGAGUUCGUGAUCUCAUGGGGGAGAGAGGCAUGGAAACACACAAAUACACUUGUUUUGAGCCGCUGAUACUGGGCAGGAGUGGGGAGUCAUAUAAGUAAAUCAAAAGGUCUGUAAU